Long non-coding RNA from Eriocheir sinensis (Chinese mitten crab), 1712 nucleotides. RefSeq lists it as uncharacterized. Lineage: Eukaryota; Metazoa; Arthropoda; Malacostraca; Decapoda; Varunidae. The record is from RefSeq and is a predicted model, not a curated record. The transcript is spliced from 3 exons.
CUCUGCCCCUGCCUUGCCAGUCAACAUUGACUUCAUAAAGGAAACUGACGAAGAAGUACAAACUGAUGUCCAUAUUGAAGUCGAGACAUGGGCUCACAAUGCAUCAGUUCAAGUUGAUGCUGAACAGUUUCUCCAGAUAGAGGUAGUGCCGGAACCACAGGAUCACACCUAUUCAGCAUCAGCCAUUGCUACUACUUCAGCAGCUGAGCCCAAGGAUGUUGGAGUACAAGUUGAAAGGGAGGCAGAUCUAACAGAAGCACCUACUGAUCAGAGAGCCCGGACCAGAGGAAGGAUUCUUGCUAGUGACAAGAGUGUUCAGCGCUAUACAGGUCUUCCUAACAAAAGUGUUUUGAUUUCUAUUUAUCAGACCAUUAAAAAGAGAGUAAAAACAAUUAAUUACUGGAAAGGGCCAAAAAGCAUAAAGGAAAAUUUAAAGAAAGGGGCACGUGGCCGUAAGAAAAUACUAGAUACUUUUGAUGAGUAUUUAAUUACACUUGUGUACAUCCGUCAAGGUUUUCCGGGCUGGUUUUUAGGCGACUUAUUUGCAGUCUCACAAGCUUCAGUUUCAUGCAUCACUAAUACCUGGAUAAAUGUAUUGUAUGAGGUACUGCAACCGUGGCUAUUGUGGCCUUCAGCUCAGCAAGUUAGGGACAACCUUCCUGAUUGGUAUCCAGUAAAGUAUGCAGAUACAAGGGUAAUUUUGGAUUGCACAGAGAUUUAUAUCAACAAACCAGCAAACUGCUCUGCUCAAGCAAUGACAUACUCCAUGUAUAAGCAUCACAACACUGCCAAAGUUCUUGUUGGCAUAACACCAACAGGAAUUAUUACAUUUGUGUCAACUCCAUAUGGUGGUAACACAUCUGAUAGGCACAUUGCAGAGGUUGAACUGAUAGACAAAAUUGAACCAGGAGAUGCUGUCAUGGUGGAUAGAGGGUUCAAUAUUGGAGACCUACUGCUGCAACGUGGUGCAAAACUGCACAUGCCACCCUUAACUCGCAAGAAAGAGGAUGGUUCAGGAAGGGCACUAAAUGCACAAGAAAGAAUCAGAACAAGGGAGGUUGCUUCAUUGAGGGUGCAUGUUGAACGUGCUAUUGAAAGAAUGAAGAAUUUCAAAAUUUUAUCAGGACAGCUCGAUAAUAAGCUUUGGCCCCUUUUGCAUCAAAUUUCAGUAAUAGUUGCUGUUUUCUGCAAUUUAAUGCCCUCUCUGUGCAACUAAAUGUUGACACAAAUGUCAAUGUUCAUGUCUAUAUUUACAAAUAUCAUUAUAUACUUAAGGGCUCUGAAUUCACAUAAUUAUGUAAUGUUAUGGUACACUAUUUUGUUUAUGAAUUUGGAUUAGGUUUAUCGGAUAUGAAUAAGUCAAUGAAGGUGUGAAUAAAACUACUUUUGUUUCCAGAUAUUUUAUUACAUCAUCUGAGAUUCAUCAUAUAAAGUUACAUGCUCUGUGUGUGUGUGUGUGUGUGUGUGUGUGUGUGUGUGUGUGUGUGUGUUUGUUUGUUUGUUUGUGUGACAGCAAUCUUCUUUGCCCCCAAAGGGCAAGUAAGGUACCCAAAGAAAUCUUAAACAUGAACAAAUACAAAUCUCAUACAAAACAAUUUUUCGUAUCACCACAGUCCAUAAAUAAAUGGGAGAGAGAGAGAGAGAGAGAGAGAGAGAGAGAGAGAGAGAGAGAGAGAGAGAGAGAGAGAGAGAGAGAGAGAGAGAGAGAGAGA